RNAcentral lists this ribosomal RNA (253 nucleotides) under uncultured bacterium. Its description in RNAcentral is "partial 16S ribosomal RNA". It matches the Rfam family "Bacterial small subunit ribosomal RNA", at positions 524 to 776 of the family's 1533-position model. The record is from RNAcentral.
UACGAAGGGGGCUAGCGUUGCUCGGAAUUACUGGGCGUAAAGGGCGCGUAGGCGGAUAGUUUAGUCAGAGGUGAAAGCCCAGGGCUCAACCCUGGAAUUGCCCUUGAUACUGGCUAUCUUGAGUUCGGGAGAGGUGAGUGGAACUCCGAGUGUAGAGGUGAAAUUCGUAGAUAUUCGGAGGAACACCAGUGGCGAAGGCGGCUCACUGGUCCAUUACUGACGCUGAGGUGCGAAAGCGUGGGGAGCAAACAGG